AUUGAACGCUGACGGCAGGCCUAACCCAUGCAAGUCGAGCGGAUGAAGGGAGCUUGCUCCUGGAUUCAGCGGCGGACGGGUGAGUAAUGCCUAGGAAUCUGCCUGGUAGUGGGGGAUAACGUCCGGAAACGGGCGCUAAUACCGCAUACGUCCUGAGGGAGAAAGUGGGGGAUCUUCGGACCUCACGCUAUCAGAUGAGCCUAGGUCGGAUUAGCUAGUUGGUGGGGUAAAGGCCUACCAAGGCGACGAUCCGUAACUGGUCUGAGAGGAUGAUCAGUCACACUGGAACUGAGACACGGUCCAGACUCCUACGGGAGGCAGCAGUGGGGAAUAUUGGACAAUGGGCGAAAGCCUGAUCCAGCCAUGCCGCGUGUGUGAAGAAGGUCUUCGGAUUGUAAAGCACUUUAAGUUGGGAGGAAGGGCAGUAAGUUAAUACCUUGCUGUUUUGACGUUACCAACAGAAUAAGCACCGGCUAACUUCGUG
Molecule: ribosomal RNA, 484 nt
Filed under: uncultured bacterium
Lineage: Bacteria
Description: partial 16S ribosomal RNA
Rfam family: Bacterial small subunit ribosomal RNA
Source: RNAcentral